UUUCCUUGGGUUUAUCCCUCCUGGAAACUCAAAUUUUCCUGUGCCUAACACCGAAGAAAA
Molecule: transfer RNA, 60 nt
Filed under: Onchidium reevesii
Lineage: Eukaryota; Metazoa; Mollusca; Gastropoda; Systellommatophora; Onchidiidae
Description: tRNA-Gln
Source: RNAcentral